ACUCUAAAACAAAUUAAAUAAGCCCAGAUGCAUUUCUUUAAAUUUUAUUUUGAAUUCAUCAUUUGUCAAAAUAUGGUUAUCAAUAAUGCAUGCUUAUAAUAUGAAGAAUGCUUUAUCCAUGUCUUAUUUUUCAUAUUACAUAACAUUCUUAUUCUUUUAACAGCUCCAGGACAGCCUCAGAAUAUUACUUGUAGAAGUGAAGCUGCACAUCAAGGAGUAAUUACCUGGAAUCCCCCUCAAAGAUCAUUUCAUAAUUUUACCCUCUGUUAUAUGAAGGAGACAGAAAAAAAUUGCCUCAAUCUGGAUAAAAACCUGAUCAAAUAUGAUUUGCAAAAUUUGAAACCUUAUACGAAAUAUGUUUUAUCAUUACAUGCCUACAUCGUUGCAAAAGUGCAACGUAAUGGAAGUGCUGCAACGUGUCAUUUCACAACUAAAAGUGCUCCUCCAAGCCAGGUCUGGAACAUGACUGUCUCCAUGACAUCAGAUAAUAGUAUGCAUGUCAAGUGUAGGCCUCCCAGGGACCGUAAUGGCCCCCAUGAACGUUACCAUUUGGAAGUUGAAGCUGGAAAUACUCUGGUUAGAAAUGAGUCACAUAAGAAUUGCGAUUUCCGUGUAAAAGAUCUUCAAUAUUCAACAGACUACACUUUU
RNAcentral lists this small RNA (648 nucleotides) under Pan troglodytes (chimpanzee). RNAcentral describes it as "retained intron". The record is from RNAcentral. Lineage: Eukaryota; Metazoa; Chordata; Mammalia; Primates; Hominidae.